CCUACGGGGGGCUGCAGUGGGGAAUCUUGCGCAAUGGGCGAAAGCCUGACGCAGCGACGCCGCGUGAGCGAAGAAGGCCUUCGGGUCGUAAAGCUCAGUCAUUGGGGAUGAGAUGACAGUACCCAAGGAGGAAGCCCCGGCUAACUACGUGCCAGCAGCCGCGGUAAUACGUAGGGGGCGAGCGUUGUCCGGAAUUACUGGGUGUAAAGGGCGUGUAGGCGGGGGUGCAAGUUACCGGUAAAAACCCAGGGCUCAACUCUGGGCUUGCCGGUAAAACUGCAUCUCUUGAGUGUAGGAGAGGGAAGUGGAAUUCCCGGAGUAGCGGUGAAAUGCGUAGAUACCGGGAGGAACACCAGUGGCGAAGGCGGCUUCCUGGCCUACAACUGACGCUGAGGCGCGAAAGCUAGGGUAGCGAACGGGAUUAGAUACCCCAGUAGUC
This 439-nucleotide ribosomal RNA is filed under the name uncultured Tepidanaerobacter sp. RNAcentral's name for it is "bacterial SSU rRNA". It matches the Rfam family "Bacterial small subunit ribosomal RNA", at positions 338 to 795 of the family's 1533-position model. The record is from RNAcentral. Lineage: Bacteria; Bacillati; Bacillota; Clostridia; Thermosediminibacterales; Tepidanaerobacteraceae.